RNAcentral lists this ribosomal RNA (795 nucleotides) under uncultured bacterium. RNAcentral's name for it is "bacterial SSU rRNA". It matches the Rfam family "Bacterial small subunit ribosomal RNA", at positions 8 to 796 of the family's 1533-position model. The record is from RNAcentral.
AGAGUUUGAUCCUGGCUCAGAUUGAACGCUGGCGGCAUGCUUUACACAUGCAAGUCGAGCGGCAGCGCGGGGGCAACCCUGGCGGCGAGCGGCGAACGGGUGAGUAAUACAUCGGAACGUGUCCCGUAGUGGGGGAUAGCCCGGCGAAAGCCGGAUUAAUACCGCAUAUGCUCUACGGAGGAAAGCGGGGGAUUCGCAAGAACCUCGCGCUAUGGGAGCGGCCGAUGUCCGAUUAGCUUGUUGGUGAGGUAAAGGCUCACCAAGGCGACGAUCGGUAGCUGGUCUGAGAGGAUGAUCAGCCACACUGGGACUGAGACACGGCCCAGACUCCUACGGGAGGCAGCAGUGGGGAAUUUUGGACAAUGGGGGCAACCCUGAUCCAGCCAUGCCGCGUGAGUGAAGAAGGCCUUCGGGUUGUAAAGCUCUUUUGGCCGGAAAGAAAAGAUCUUGUCUAAUAAACGAGGUUCUUGACGGUACCGGCAGAAUAAGCACCGGCUAACUACGUGCCAGCAGCCGCGGUAAUACGUAGGGUGCGAGCGUUAAUCGGAAUUACUGGGCGUAAAGAGUGCGUAGGCGGUUCUUUGUGUCCGCUGUGAAAUCCCCGGGCUUAACCUGGGAAUGGCAGUGGAAACUAGAGGACUUGAAUCCGGCAGAGGGGGGUGGAAUGCCACGUGUAGCAGUGAAAUGCGUAGAUAUGUGGCGGAACACCGAUGGCGAAGGCAGCCCCCUGGGCUGAGAUUGACGCUCAGGCACGAAAGCGUGGGGAGCAAACAGGAUUAGAUACCCUAGUAGUCC